This 346-nucleotide unclassified non-coding RNA is filed under the name soil metagenome. RNAcentral's name for it is "partial contains 5.8S ribosomal RNA, internal transcribed spacer 2, and large subunit ribosomal RNA". The stretch from base 1 to 120 matches the Rfam family "5.8S ribosomal RNA", at positions 35 to 154 of the family's 154-position model. The record is from RNAcentral.
GAUGAAGAACGCAGUGAAAUGCGAUAAUUAAUGUGAAUUGCAGAAUUCAGUGAAUCAUCGAGUCUUUGAACGCACAUUGCGCCCCCUGGUAUUCCGGGGGGCAUGCCUGUCCGAGCGUCAUUGCUGCCCUCAAGCACGGCUUGUGUGUUGGGCUUCCGUCCCUGGCAACGGGGACGGGCCCAAAAGGCAGUGGCGGCACCAUGUCUGGUCCUCGAGCGUAUGGGGCUUUGUCACCCGCUCCCGUAGGUCCAGCUGGCAGCUAGCCUCGCAACCAAUCUUUUUAACCAGGUUGACCUCGGAUCAGGUAGGGAUACCCGCUGAACUUAAGCAUAUCAAUAGCGGAGGA